CAAAAAUAAGGCCUUUUAUCUUUAAAAUUCUUUUUAAAGAAUAACAUAAGACCUCUUUCAAAAAUAUUUUUGUUCACUUUGUGUUGUAUAUUCCCCAAACUAGGCAACAACAUCACAAAGUUUGGUUUUUGAGAUUUUUGUAAAGAAGAGUGAUCAUUAUAUAAUUGAAAAGAAGAGUUCAAAGUAUUGCAAUCCCCCUUUAAGGAGUCUU
RNAcentral lists this long non-coding RNA (211 nucleotides) under Phaseolus vulgaris (common bean). RNAcentral's name for it is "long non-coding RNA (PVUL_LNC005035)". Lineage: Eukaryota; Viridiplantae; Streptophyta; Magnoliopsida; Fabales; Fabaceae. The record is from RNAcentral.